GCUUAUGUAGCUUAAUAGGUAAAGCAAUCGCUUGAAGCGCGAUCUAUGUGAGUUCGAUUCUCAACUUAAGCA
This 72-nucleotide transfer RNA is filed under the name Intestinozyma alai. RNAcentral describes it as "Candida alai tRNA-Phe". It matches the Rfam family "tRNA". Rfam says of the family: Transfer RNA (tRNA) molecules are approximately 80 nucleotides in length. Their secondary structure includes four short double-helical elements and three loops (D, anti-codon, and T loops). Further hydrogen bonds mediate the characteristic L-shaped molecular structure. tRNAs have two regions of fundamental functional importance: the anti-codon, which is responsible for specific mRNA codon recognition, and the 3' end, to which the tRNAs corresponding amino acid is attached (by aminoacyl-tRNA synthetases). tRNAs cope with the degeneracy of the genetic code in two manners: having more than one tRNA (with a specific anti-codon) for a particular amino acid; and 'wobble' base-pairing, i.e. permitting non-standard base-pairing at the 3rd anti-codon position. Lineage: Eukaryota; Fungi; Ascomycota; Pichiomycetes; Serinales; Debaryomycetaceae. The record is from RNAcentral.